RNAcentral lists this ribosomal RNA (497 nucleotides) under uncultured bacterium. RNAcentral describes it as "partial 16S ribosomal RNA". It matches the Rfam family "Bacterial small subunit ribosomal RNA", at positions 28 to 507 of the family's 1533-position model. The record is from RNAcentral.
GAUGAACGCUGGCGGCGUGCCUAAUACAUGCAAGUCGAGCGAACAGACGAGGAGCUUGCUCCUCUGACGUUAGCGGCGGACGGGUGAGUAACACGUGGAUAACCUACCUAUAAGACUGGGAUAACUUCGGGAAACCGGAGCUAAUACCGGAUAAUAUAUUGAACCGCAUGGUUCAAUAGUGAAAGACGGUUUUGCUGUCACUUAUAGAUGGAUCCGCGCCGCAUUAGCUAGUUGGUAAGGUAACGGCUUACCAAGGCAACGAUGCGUAGCCGACCUGAGAGGGUGAUCGGCCACACUGGAACUGAGACACGGUCCAGACUCCUACGGGAGGCAGCAGAAGGGAAUCUUCCGCAAUGGGCGAAAGCUUGACGGAGCAACGCCGCGUGAGUGAUGAAGGUCUUCGGAGCGUAAAACUCUGUUAUUAGGGAAGAACAAAUGUGUAAGUAACUAUGCACGUCUUGACGGUACCUAAUCAGAAAGCCACGGCUAACUACGUG